CCUACGGGUGGCAGCAGUGGGGAAUAUUGGACAAUGGGCGAAAGCCUGAUCCAGCCAUGCCGCGUGUGUGAAGAAGGCCUUCGGGUUGUAAAGCACUUUCAGUGGGGAAGAAAGCCUUGGGGCUAAUACCCUCGAGGAAGGACAUCACCCACAGAAGAAGCACCGGCUAACUCCGUGCCAGCAGCCGCGGUAAUACGGAGGGUGCGAGCGUUAAUCGGAAUUACUGGGCGUAAAGCGCGCGUAGGCGGUCUGAUAAGUCGGUUGUGAAAGCCCCGGGCUCAACCUGGGAACGGCAUCCGGAACUGUCAGGCUAGAGUGCAGGAGAGGAAGGUAGAAUUCCCGGUGUAGCGGUGAAAUGCGUAGAGAUCGGGAGGAAUACCAGUGGCGAAGGCGGCCUUCUGGACUGACACUGACGCUGAGGUGCGAAAGCGUGGGUAGCAAACAGGAUUAGAUACCCUAGUAGUC
RNAcentral lists this ribosomal RNA (465 nucleotides) under Vreelandella stevensii. Its description in RNAcentral is "partial 16S ribosomal RNA". It matches the Rfam family "Bacterial small subunit ribosomal RNA", at positions 338 to 795 of the family's 1533-position model. The record is from RNAcentral. Lineage: Bacteria; Pseudomonadati; Pseudomonadota; Gammaproteobacteria; Oceanospirillales; Halomonadaceae.